Molecule: small nucleolar RNA, 77 nt
Organism: Hibiscus syriacus
Lineage: Eukaryota; Viridiplantae; Streptophyta; Magnoliopsida; Malvales; Malvaceae
Product: small nucleolar RNA J33
Exons: 1
Source: RefSeq, a predicted model, not a curated record
CAGGGGAAUGAUGUACUAUCAUCAAGCUCUACAGCUGCUAGCUUUUCUUGAUUCUUCAUCGGAUACGGAUAAUUCGG